This 466-nucleotide ribosomal RNA is filed under the name Streptococcus sp. oral taxon 058. Its description in RNAcentral is "bacterial SSU rRNA". It matches the Rfam family "Bacterial small subunit ribosomal RNA", at positions 55 to 500 of the family's 1533-position model. Lineage: Bacteria; Bacillati; Bacillota; Bacilli; Lactobacillales; Streptococcaceae. The record is from RNAcentral.
AUGCAAGUAGAACCGCUGAAAAAGAGGAGCUUGCUUCUUUCUUGAUGAGUUGCGAACGGGUGAGUAACGCGUAGGUAACCUGCCUGGUAGCGGGGGAUAACUAUUGGAAACGAUAGCUAAUACCGCAUGAAAUUGAUUAUUGCAUGAUAGUCAAUUAAAAGGUGCAACUGCACCACUACCAGAUGGACCUGCGUUGUAUUAGCUAGUUGGUGAGGUAACGGCUCACCAAGGCGACGAUACAUAGCCGACCUGAGAGGGUGAUCGGCCACACUGGGACUGAGACACGGCCCAGACUCCUACGGGAGGCAGCAGUAGGGAAUCUUCGGCAAUGGACGGAAGUCUGACCGAGCAACGCCGCGUGAGUGAAGAAGGUUUUCGGAUCGUAAAGCUCUGUUGUAAGAGAAGAACGAGUGUGAGAGUGGAAAGUUCACACUGUGACGGUAUCUUACCAGAAAGGGACGGCUAA